GGGGAUAACGUUCGGAAACGGACGCUAAUACCGCAUACGUCCUACGGGAGAAAGCAGGGGACUUUCGGGCCUUGCGCUAUCAGAUGAGCCUAGGUCGGAUUAGCUAGUUGGUGAGGUAAUGGCUCACCAAGGCGACGAUCCGUAACUGGUCUGAGAGGAUGAUCAGUCACACUGGAACUGAGACACGGUCCAGACUCCUACAGGAGGCAGCAGUGGGGAAUAUUGGACAAUGGGCGAAAGCCUGAUCCAGCCAUGCCGCGUGUGUGAAGAAGGUCUUCGGAUUGUAAAGCACUUUAAGUUGGGAGGAAGGGCAGUUACCUAAUACGUGAUUGUUUUGACGUUACCGACAGAAUAAGCACCGGCUAACUCUGUGCCAGCAGCCGCGGUAAUACAGAGGGUGCAAGCGUUAAUCGGAAUUACUGGGCGUAAAGCGCGCGUAGAUGGUUUGUUAAGUUGGAUGUGAAAUCCCCGGGCUCAACCUGGGAACUGCAUUCAAAACUGACUGACUAGAGUAUGGUAGAGGGUGGUGGAAUUUCCUGUGUAGCGGUGAAAUGCGUAGAUAUAGGAAGGAACACCAGUGGCGAAGGCGACCACCUGGACUGAUACUGACACUGAGGUGCGAAAGCGUGGGGAGCAAAC
RNAcentral lists this ribosomal RNA (639 nucleotides) under uncultured bacterium. RNAcentral's name for it is "bacterial SSU rRNA". It matches the Rfam family "Bacterial small subunit ribosomal RNA", at positions 139 to 773 of the family's 1533-position model. The record is from RNAcentral.